This is a long non-coding RNA of Triticum aestivum (bread wheat), 2430 nucleotides long. RefSeq lists it as uncharacterized. Lineage: Eukaryota; Viridiplantae; Streptophyta; Magnoliopsida; Poales; Poaceae. The transcript is spliced from 13 exons. The record is from RefSeq and is a predicted model, not a curated record.
UCCAAACUUUCGCGCUCGGGCUCGGUGACGUCUGAAAAACUCUGGCGCCCACGCUUUUGUCCAAGUGUUUCGCGCUCGGUCCAAGACUUAAUAUUUUCAAAUGAAAAUGAGAAGAGAGAUUCUACCAACCAGCACCCAACCCAACCCAAAACAGCCCUCGCACACUCUAUCUUCUUCCUCCUCCCCCGAUUCCACCCAACGAGCCGCCGGCAACCUCCUCUCCUCCAGCCACCGUCGGCGCCCUCCACCCUCUCCUUCUCUCCUAGUCUCCGCGUCCAACCUCGUCAGCUUCCCCUCCUCGCGCCCGAAACCCUAGCCCGCGUCCACGGCAACCAAUCUCUGGAUCCGCAUCGCAGGAUGCCGCCGGAUCCGGGAACAGGGCAUCGCACCCUGCAGCCGCCGUUCGGGUCGAGCGGGGCGGCGGCGAACGCCGGUGCUCCUCUGCUUCCUCGACCUCCAAGGACGCAGGCCCCGGAUUCGUGCUCGCCUUCUUCCUCCACCAGCCUUGGUGCCCAAUUCCCUACAGCCGCCGUCGCCGUCGUGGAUUCCCAAGGCGAGGAGCAUGAGGACCGAGCUCGAGCGCGACCACGACGCAGCGCACAAGGUCCCUGUUUCCUGCACAAGUAUACACAGCACCUUGCUUGGUUGGGGAGCAGCAACAUCAAGGCUGUUGAACAAACAACAAUAUCGAGACGUUGAACAAAUAGCAACAUCUGUUGCUGAUAGCGUACUGAGGUGUUUCAGCACCAACGCUUGGAUGACCAACGAGGAACAAGCAAUGGCGGUGUCUGCCGAUUUGCCGCCUCAACAAGGUCUCGUUCCUCCCUGGUUUGCGCAAGCUUCGUCAGGCAACUGCAGAUCCCGUACGACCAUGGCCCACACCCCUGAAGCUUCCCCUGUCCGCAACAACUUCUGGAUCAAAGGAUUGUUGCUUAAUCCCAGGCUGCUCUACCUUGAAGGAAAAGGGGUCGUCCUUGAGAUCAUAUAGAUGGCGCAAGGACAAUGGUCAUUGUGGUGGCUGAGGAUGCUGUCCAAGAUCUUAUCGUGUGAAGCAUGAAUUUUGUGGACCUCACCAUCCCUUCCUAGGUUUGGCUGCUGAUCGGGAACCAGCCAUUGGUGUACCUCAAUAAGGUCACAGACGGCUCCAUGGGCGAGUCGCCGCCAAGCUUGAGUCCAUGGAGCCCUGCUCCAGCCUCAAGGAGAGGUGAGGAGAAGGGGUUCAUCGAGCCAGGCAAGGUGCGCGGUGGUAGGCUCGGUCUCCAGCCUCAGCGUCUUCUGUUGGUCCCUUUGCCAUGUGGCGCCGACGAUGUUGUUCGGAGUCGGCUACAAAACUGGCAUGGAUGGUGAGAAGAAAUAUGAGCUAGAGAUGGUGCACCCACAAUCAUUGGGUAAGGUCGUUUUUGAUCUUCCGGAGGGCAGAGCGGGGCGAGAAGAGUCUUGAUGGAGCUUGGAGGUUUGGCUUUUUAUCCAAUGUAUGAACUGAUGGAUCAUCCUCUGGGUUAUGCUUCCUGAAUAGCGAAGAGCUAAUCAUCCUGGUGAUUGGUCAAAUAAAAGUUCAUCUUGUUUCAGUUGCCCCUGUAGUGAUAGGGAUGCAGUGUGAUGUUGAAAAAGGCCACAGCUGUUGAUCGGGAACCAGCCAUUGGUGUACCUCAAUAAGGUCACCAACGGCUGCAUGGGCGAGUCGCCGCAAAGCUUGAGUCCAUGGAGCCCUGCUCCAGCCUCAAGGAGAGGAGAAAUGGUUCAUCGAGCCAGGCAAGGUGCGCGGUGGUAGGCUCGGUCUCCAGCCUCAGCGUCUUCUGUCGGCCCCUUUGCCAUGUGGCGCCGGCGGUGCUGUUCGAAGUCGGCUACAAAACUGGCAUGGAAGCACGACAGGUCGCGUAAAGAGGAGGAAAAGAAAGCUGAGUGCUCAACUUGUUUAGAGGACUAGCCUUUCUUCUUCCUUGAAAGAAACGUUGAAAGGUAAGACAUGACAGCGGCAAGCAUAGAUAGGCAUUGGAGAUGUUUUUUUCUUUCUCUAGUCCAUUUACUGAAUGGGGUGGUGCUUUAUUUCUUCCAGAGGAGAAGAUGUGCUGAAACUAGAUGUAAAGAUGCAUGACCCUUUCUUUGAUUUCGUCUACGCGCUUGAUUCUGAAGUAGGAUGAUCAAAUUUAGAUGGUAUUUACUUUUUUUUGUAGGGCAAGUAUAAUGUUUGCCAAGUCAAUCAAUAUAUAUUGACAUGCUCCCUGGGAUGAGAUGGCAAACCAUUUAGAUCAAGCCAUUUUAGUUUGCUGCAUUCAAAUUCCAAACCAAUUAAUGUCCACUUUUAGUUUAAGCCAUGAGAUGAUGGCAAACCAACUCAGUUUGCUGCACUUGGUUGUAGAAAUGUCACUCACUGUUCCAGAUUAUUACUUGAGGUUAUAUAUGCUAUACGUAUAAACUAUGCUAGUGUUU